GAUGAACGCUGGCGGCGUGCCUAAUACAUGCAAGUCGAACGAGGAGUACUUACUUCGGUUUUUACUCCUAGUGGCGAACGGGUGAGUAACGCGUUGGUGACCUGCCCCGAAGCGGGGGACAACAGUUCGAAAGAACUGCUAAUACCCCAUGUGGUCUUACUGGUUAGAGGCUGUAUGACUAAAGGAGUAAUCCACUUCGGGAGGGGCCUGCGUCCCAUCAGCUAGUUGGUAAGGUAACGGCCUACCAAGGCAAAGACGGGUAGGGGGCCUGAGAGGGUGGCCCCCCACACUGGCACUGAAACACGGGCCAGACACCUACGGGUGGCAGCAGUAGGGAAUAUUGCACAAUGGGCGAAAGCCUGAUGCAGCAACGCCGCGUGCGCGAAGAAGGCCUUCGGGUCGUAAAGCGCUUUUCUGGAGGAAGAGGAA
This 429-nucleotide ribosomal RNA is filed under the name uncultured bacterium. RNAcentral describes it as "bacterial SSU rRNA". It matches the Rfam family "Bacterial small subunit ribosomal RNA", at positions 28 to 452 of the family's 1533-position model. The record is from RNAcentral.